CAGCAGCGAGGAAUCUUGCGCAAUGGGCGAAAGCCUGACGCAGCAACGCCGCGUGAGUGAAGAAGGCCUUCGGGUUGUAAAGCUCUUUUACCGGGGAAGAAGAUCUGACGGUACCCGGUGAAUAAGACACGGCUAACUACGUGCCAGCAGCCGCGGUAAGACGUAGGUGUCGAGCGUUAUCCGGAUUUACUGGGCGUAAAGCGUACGUAGGCGGCUCCGCAAGUCCGCCGUGAAAUCUCCCGGCUCAACCGGGAGCGGUCGGUGGAAACUGCGGAGCUGGAGGGGCGUAGAGGCAAGCGGAAUUCCCGGUGUAGUGGUGGAAUGCGUAGAUACCGGGAGGAACACCAGUGGCGUAAGCGGCUUGCCAGGCGCAACCUGACGCUAAGGUACGAAAGCGUGGGGAGCGAACCGACUUAGAUACUCGGGUAGUCCACGCCGUAAACGAUGGAUGCUAGACGUGGGGGGUAUCGAUCCCCUCCGUGUCGCAGCUAACGCAUUAAGCAUCCCGCCUGGGGACUACGGCCGCAAGGCUA
This 533-nucleotide ribosomal RNA is filed under the name uncultured Chloroflexota bacterium. RNAcentral's name for it is "bacterial SSU rRNA". It matches the Rfam family "Bacterial small subunit ribosomal RNA", at positions 349 to 896 of the family's 1533-position model. The record is from RNAcentral. Lineage: Bacteria; Bacillati; Chloroflexota.